UACGGAGGGGGCUAGCGUUGUUCGGAAUUACUGGGCGUAAAGCGCACGUAGGCGGACUGAAAAGUUGGAGGUGAAAUCCCAGGGCUCAACCUUGGAACUGCCUUCAAAACUAUCAGUCUGGAGUUCGAGAGAGGUGAGUGGAAUUCCGAGUGUAGAGGUGAAAUUCGUAGAUAUUCGGAGGAACACCAGUGGCGAAGGCGGCUCACUGGCUCGAUACUGACGCUGAGGUGCGAAAGCGUGGGGAGCAAACAGGAUUAGAAACCCCUGUAGUCC
RNAcentral lists this ribosomal RNA (273 nucleotides) under uncultured prokaryote. Its description in RNAcentral is "partial 16S ribosomal RNA". It matches the Rfam family "Bacterial small subunit ribosomal RNA", at positions 524 to 796 of the family's 1533-position model. The record is from RNAcentral.